Molecule: transfer RNA, 73 nt
Filed under: Arcanobacterium haemolyticum
Lineage: Bacteria; Bacillati; Actinomycetota; Actinomycetes; Actinomycetales; Actinomycetaceae
Also listed under: 16 other names
Description: tRNA-Trp
Rfam family: tRNA
About the family: Transfer RNA (tRNA) molecules are approximately 80 nucleotides in length. Their secondary structure includes four short double-helical elements and three loops (D, anti-codon, and T loops). Further hydrogen bonds mediate the characteristic L-shaped molecular structure. tRNAs have two regions of fundamental functional importance: the anti-codon, which is responsible for specific mRNA codon recognition, and the 3' end, to which the tRNAs corresponding amino acid is attached (by aminoacyl-tRNA synthetases). tRNAs cope with the degeneracy of the genetic code in two manners: having more than one tRNA (with a specific anti-codon) for a particular amino acid; and 'wobble' base-pairing, i.e. permitting non-standard base-pairing at the 3rd anti-codon position.
Source: RNAcentral
AGGGUAGUGGCGCAAUUGGUAGCGCAUCGGUCUCCAAAACCGGCGGUUGGGGGUUCGAGUCCCUCCUACCCUG